AUUUAGACCUCAGAUAAGAUGUCACAGAGAUUAUCGCUAAUCUUCAACUUUCAGUAAUGGAGUAUUCGAGGUUCUUCAUGGAAAUGGGAUAUAUGAUGAUGGGAUAGACAAGGGACAAACAUGUUGAUGUUUUGCCUUGUUAGAUCUGUUGUUUAGACUCCUUAAUCUAGUAAUUGAGAAGAUGUGCCCCACACACAGGGUUGUCUCCUAUACUUGGAACCAUUCUUGACCUAUUGACGCUGUAUGAUAUAAUAUUAAUCUUAUAAAUCAAGCGAUUCUGCUUAUGGCUCAUUC
This 294-nucleotide unclassified non-coding RNA is filed under the name Hevea brasiliensis (rubber tree). The record is from RNAcentral. Lineage: Eukaryota; Viridiplantae; Streptophyta; Magnoliopsida; Malpighiales; Euphorbiaceae.